AACGAACGCUGGCGGCAGGCUUAACACAUGCAAGUCGAACGGAUCCUUCGGGCUUAGUGGCAGACGGGUGGGUAAAGCGUGGGAACGUACCCAUUGCUACGGAAUAACUCAGGGAAACUUGUGCUAAUACCGGAUGUGCCCUACGGGGGGAAGAUGGAUCGGCAAAGGAUCGGCCCGCGUUGGAUUAGCGAGGUGGUAGGGUAAUGGCCUACCAAGGCGACGAUCCAUAGCUGGUCUGAGAGGAUGGUCAGCCACACUGGGACUGAGACACGGCCCAGACUCCUGCGGGAGGCAGCAGUGGGGAAUAUUGGACGAUGGGCGUAAGCCGGAUCUAGCCAUGCCGCGUGAGUGAUGAAGGUGUUAGGAUUGUAAAGAUCUUUCACCGGUGAAGAUAAUGACGGUAGCCGGAGAAGAAGCCCCGGCUAACUUCGUG
Molecule: ribosomal RNA, 433 nt
Filed under: uncultured bacterium
Lineage: Bacteria
Description: partial 16S ribosomal RNA
Rfam family: Bacterial small subunit ribosomal RNA
Source: RNAcentral